GGUUAAGCGACUAAGCGUACACGGUGGAUGCCCUGGCAGUCAGAGGCGAUGAAGGACGUGCUAAUCUGCGAAAAGCGUCGGUAAGGUGAUAUGAACCGUUAUAACCGGCGAUGUCCGAAUGGGGAAACCCAGUGCAAUUCGUUGCACUAUCGUUAACUGAAUACAUAGGUUAACGAGGCGAACCGGGGGAACUGAAACAUCUAAGUACCCCGAGGAAAAGAAAUCAACCGAGAUUCCCCCAGUAGCGGCGAGCGAACGGGGAGCAGCCCAGAGUCUGAAUCAGCUUGUGUGUUAGUGGAACGGUCUGGAAAGUCCGACGGUACAGGGUGAUAGUCCCGUACACCAAAAUGCACAGGCUGUGAACUCGAAGAGUAGGGCGGGACACGUGGUAUCCUGUCUGAAUAUGGGGGGACCAUCCUCCAAGGCUAAAUACUCCUGACUGACCGAUAGUGAACCAGUACCGUGAGGGAAAGGCGAAAAGAACCCCGGCGAGGGGAGUGAAAAAGAACCUGAAACCGUGUACGUACAAGCAGUGGGAGCACCUUCGGGUGUGACUGCGUACCUUUUGUAUAAUGGGUCAGCGACUUAUAUUCUGUAGCAAGGUUAACCGUAUAGGGGAGCCGCAGGGAAACCGAGUCUUAACUGGGCGUUAAGUUGCAGGGUAUAGACCCGAAACCCGGUGAUCUAGCCAUGGGCAGGUUGAAGGUUGGGUAACACUAACUGGAGGACCGAACCGACUAAUGUUGAAAAAUUAGCGGAUGACUUGUGGCUGGGGGUGAAAGGCCAAUCAAACCGGGAGAUAGCUGGUUCUCCCCGAAAGCUAUUUAGGUAGCGCCUCGUGAAUUCAUCUUCGGGGGUAGAGCACUGUUUCGGCUAGGGGGUCAUCCCGACUUACCAACCCGAUGCAAACUACGAAUACCGAAGAAUGUUAUCACGGGAGACACACGGCGGGUGCUAACGUCCGUCGUGAAGAGGGAAACAACCCAGACCGCCAGCUAAGGUCCCAAAGUCAUGGUUAAGUGGGAAACGAUGUGGGAAGGCACAGACAGCCAGGAUGUUGGCUUAGAAGCAGCCAUCAUUUAAAGAAAGCGUAAUAGCUCACUGGUCGAGUCGGCCUGCGCGGAAGAUGUAACGGGGCUAAACCAUGCACCGAAGCUGCGGCAGCGACACUAUGUGUUGUUGGGUAGGGGAGCGUUCUGUAAGCCUGCGAAGGUGACCUGUGAGGGUUGCUGGAGGUAUCAGAAGUGCGAAUGCUGACAUAAGUAACGAUAAAGCGGGUGAAAAGCCCGCUCGCCGGAAGACCAAGGGUUCCUGUCCAACGUUAAUCGGGGCAGGGUGAGUCGACCCCUAAGGCGAGGCCGAAAGGCGUAGUCGAUGGGAAACAGGUUAAUAUUCCUGUACUUGGUGUUACUGCGAAGGGGGGACGGAGAAGGCUAUGUUAGCCGGGCGACGGUUGUCCCGGUUUAAGCAUGUAGGCUGGUUAUCCAGGCAAAUCCGGAUAAUCAAGGCUGAGGUGUGAUGACGAGGCACUACGGUGCUGAAGUAACAAAUGCCCUGCUUCCAGGAAAAGCCUCUAAGCAUCAGGUAACAUAAAUCGUACCCCAAACCGACACAGGUGGUCAGGUAGAGAAUACCAAGGCGCUUGAGAGAACUCGGGUGAAGGAACUAGGCAAAAUGGUGCCGUAACUUCGGGAGAAGGCACGCUGGUGUGUAGGUGAAGUCCCUGCGGAUGGAGCUGAGACCAGUCGAAGAUACCAGCUGGCUGCAACUGUUUAUUAAAAACACAGCACUGUGCAAACACGAAAGUGGACGUAUACGGUGUGACGCCUGCCCGGUGCCGGAAGGUUAAUUGAUGGGGUUAUCCGUAAGGAGAAGCUCUUGAUCGAAGCCCCGGUAAACGGCGGCCGUAACUAUAACGGUCCUAAGGUAGCGAAAUUCCUUGUCGGGUAAGUUCCGACCUGCACGAAUGGCGUAAUGAUGGCCAGGCUGUCUCCACCCGAGACUCAGUGAAAUUGAACUCGCUGUGAAGAUGCAGUGUACCCGCGGCAAGACGGAAAGACCCCGUGAACCUUUACUAUAGCUUGACACUGAACAUUGAGCCUUGAUGUGUAGGAUAGGUGGGAGGCUUUGAAGCGUGGACGCCAGUCUGCGUGGAGCCAACCUUGAAAUACCACCCUUUAAUGUUUGAUGUUCUAACGUUGGCCCCUUACCGGGGUUGCGGACAGUGUCUGGUGGGUAGUUUGACUGGGGCGGUCUCCUCCCAAAGCGUAACGGAGGAGCACGAAGGUUAGCUAAUCCUGGUCGGACAUCAGGAGGUUAGUGCAAUGGCAUAAGCUAGCUUGACUGCGAGCGUGACGGCGCGAGCAGGUGCGAAAGCAGGUCAUAGUGAUCCGGUGGUUCUGAAUGGAAGGGCCAUCGCUCAACGGAUAAAAGGUACUCCGGGGAUAACAGGCUGAUACCGCCCAAGAGUUCAUAUCGACGGCGGUGUUUGGCACCUCGAUGUCGGCUCAUCACAUCCUGGGGCUGAAGUAGGUCCCAAGGGUAUGGCUGUUCGCCAUUUAAAGUGGUACGCGAGCUGGGUUUAGAACGUCGUGAGACAGUUCGGUCCCUAUCUGCCGUGGGCGCUGGAGAAUUGAGGGGGGCUGCUCCUAGUACGAGAGGACCGGAGUGGACGCAUCACUGGUGUUCGGGUUGUCAUGCCAAUGGCACUGCCCGGUAGCUAAAUGCGGAAGAGAUAAGUGCUGAAAGCAUCUAAGCACGAAACUUGCCCCGAGAUGAGUUCUCCCUGAGACUUUAAGUCUCCUGAAGGAACGUUGAAGACGACGACGUUGAUAGGCCGGGUGUGUAAGCGCAGCGAUGCGUUGAGCUAACCGGUACUAAUGAACCGUGAGGCUUAACCUU
Molecule: ribosomal RNA, 2901 nt
Filed under: Klebsiella pneumoniae
Lineage: Bacteria; Pseudomonadati; Pseudomonadota; Gammaproteobacteria; Enterobacterales; Enterobacteriaceae
Description: 23S ribosomal RNA
Rfam family: Bacterial large subunit ribosomal RNA
Source: RNAcentral